Molecule: ribosomal RNA, 819 nt
Filed under: Triticum aestivum (bread wheat)
Lineage: Eukaryota; Viridiplantae; Streptophyta; Magnoliopsida; Poales; Poaceae
Description: partial small subunit ribosomal RNA
Source: RNAcentral
AUGAACCUCUUUCGUGCAUGCACCUCGAUUACGCUGGGCAAUGGGCAAAAGGCCCUUUUCUGGUAGGACAAAUGGACCGGAAGCGGCCUCCUCAGGCUUCUGGCUCCAGAGCUUUACAAGAUCACCUCCAGAAAGAACAGAUCGGUGCAUAAAGAACUCACGAAUGAGAACUGGAUAAAGGCGGUCGCCAAACUUCAGACCAUGCAGCAACUGGGAGAAUUUGUGACUCUCUGGGAGUGCAUUCGCUGGAAUUUAACCACCUCAGGGGCGUACUCCGCGGCUUCGGCCUACGGCGCGCAAUUCUUCGGUUCCUAUGCACGGUUCGACACGACGAAGGUCUGGCACGCAAACGCUGAGCCUAAAUGCAAAUUCUUCGCCUGGCUCGUUCUUCAUGGGAGAAUCCUCACCACGGAUAUGCUGGCUGUGAGGGGAUGGCCUCAUGACCCCAGGUGCCUGCUAUGCCUCCAACAGCCUGAAACUACAACUCACCUCUGCAAGGACUGUUCCUUCACGGUCGCGGUUUGGAACCAGGUGAACACCUGGACAAACAAGGGCGUACCAAUCUCGGGCUUCCUCCCGGAGCCCGGCAACGUGUCCGACUGGUGGGAUCAAACACUGACAACACAGUCCAAGCAGGGCCGCCGGCGGCGCAGUGGGAGAAUCAUCUACACUUUAUGGUCAAUCUGGAAGGAGCGAAAUAGGCGUGUUUUCACUGGACAAAGACCGACACACCGUGAGGUUGCCGCACUCGCCCUAGACGCUAUCAUUCAGCGGGACCUGGCAUUUACAGGAUGCUUCCCAAACACGGGUAUUGGCUAA